CCAGCAGAGCAGAACUGCCUCAGCCAUCAAUAAUAAUUCAACACAUUAGGAUGAGGCCUACAUACACAGCCCACAGAGCCACCAUUUGGCACAGCAUUUCUGAUUGUCUGUUUAUGGAAUCCGAAUACUGAAGCUGUUUCAAAUUGUCUUUCACAGAUGUUGGGAAAAGGAGAGAAGUGAAAAAAGUCCCAACUGUAUGAUGGCAUUUCCAGCAAUAUGGUAAGAUCAUCGACGAAAACUGCAAUGUCAUCCGCGAAUGCCUUAUUAUUGUUAUUAAAACCUUUAUGUUGUAAACCUUCCAACCACUUUGAUUCUGUAAUCUUUUAAAAUAAGAUCUCAAUUGUCAAAAUAAAUAAAAGAGGGGAACGGGGACAACUCUGUCUUGUUCUUCUUUUUGUUUUCA
Molecule: long non-coding RNA, 403 nt
Organism: Sphaerodactylus townsendi
Lineage: Eukaryota; Metazoa; Chordata; Lepidosauria; Squamata; Sphaerodactylidae
Exons: 4
Source: RefSeq, a predicted model, not a curated record